Ovis aries (sheep) is the source of this 71-nucleotide transfer RNA. It matches the Rfam family "tRNA". From Rfam's summary of the family: Transfer RNA (tRNA) molecules are approximately 80 nucleotides in length. Their secondary structure includes four short double-helical elements and three loops (D, anti-codon, and T loops). The record is from Rfam. Lineage: Eukaryota; Metazoa; Chordata; Mammalia; Artiodactyla; Bovidae.
CCCUGGUAGCUCAGAUGGUAAAGAGUCUGCCUGAAAUGCAAGAGACCCGGGUUCAAUCCCUGGAUCAGGAA